UGCCUCUCUCUCCCCUCAAAGGUCAGAGCAGUGCCAAGGACAGAAGAGAGAGUAGAUCCAGCCUUGGCCCUGCUAGGCUGGGCAGCCUGGCAGGUAGAGUCAGCAGGGAUAGAGCUUGCUUUCCUGUUCACGAUCUUCAGCCAAGUUCAGGGAGGUCUGAAUACUGAGGCCUUCAUAGCCACUGCACCCCAGGUAGCUCAGGAGAACCUCCGAGCGCAGGAGUGCAAAGGCUGGCAUUCUUCAGGCUCUGAGGCUGUCCCUUCCGGUGGAGGUGAACUGCUUCUUAUUGAUGUGGACAAGACUGUGGAUGGAGACUGACAGGAUCCUGGCUUGGGGGCCUUCCGGCAGGGCUGGCUGCUGGGCUGGCAGGCUCUGGCGCUCCCCUUCCCCAGAACUGACUUUGUUCCUGGCAGCCAUGGUGGCUGCACUAACCACAUUCUGCCUCCACCUUUGCACUAAGAAAAGCAAAUAAGCAGACCACAGAACUGUUUGCAUUUGCCCCAGAUGCUCCCUGGCUGCGGGAAGAGAUAAAGUUUGCUGACCCCUAGAGAGGAAGUCAUGGCCCAUGGCUGGCAGAUGGAAGCCUCAGGACCUGAAGAUUUCUCAAAGAAAGGGACCUGCUGCUGACAGCAAUUAAUAUAUGUUCACAGCUUGCAGCUGAAGCCUGAUGAUGGCUGUAGGAGAAAGGACAUCACCCAGAUGACAUUUUGCCUCCAAAGCUCUGGGGACCAAUUGUGGAAGAACUGCAGGGAUAUUAUGUUAGAAUGUUCUUGUGUCUGGAUAGGAUGAGAACUGUCUUAUAACAAAGUGCAGCCCCCAUGUCUGAGGGCAUGUUUCCUGUGUUUAGGCACUUCCGAAGCAGGGAGCACCUUCAAGGGGCACUGGCCUUCCCAGAAACAGUGUUUGACCUGUGAUGAUGUCCUGGGGGAGGGGACCUAGGAAAAGACCUUAGCCUUUCCAUAAGGCACGAUUAUUCUCCUCUAUAGAGCCUCAAAAGUCAAGUCAAGUAGCAAGCACACUGUGCUCCAGUCUGUGGCCACAGACACACACAAGGACUGGAGCAAAACCAAACAUAGUGUAUCAUCACCGCUGAACCCCCAGGAGCCCCCAGAUGCUUUUGAACGUGAAAGGAGAAAGAAGCUGUCAGAGAUCAGGUUGAAUGUGGUGGGUUAGGUGUGCGGCAUUGCCUCUGGGUCCCUGCUUUGGUUUAAUUAAACUAAGUCUGGUGGUGAAUUGGUUCCCAAAUGUUCAUUGGUGGAUGGGCGGCAUCAGAAUUGUCUACAUCUUUUAAAAAACACGUACGCAAAACCUAUGCAUGUCUUCCUCUGAGAGUUUGAUUUUCAGCAGGCUUGGGGUGGAUUCCUACUUUUAAGAACUCCCCACGCCCGUCCUAAGUGAUUGUGAUUCCCAGUAAGUGAAUGCUGACAAAUUGAACCUUCCAGCAUGGACAUUUAUUUAUGAAAUAAAUGGACAUUAAUUU
Molecule: long non-coding RNA, 1480 nt
Filed under: Homo sapiens (human)
Lineage: Eukaryota; Metazoa; Chordata; Mammalia; Primates; Hominidae
Description: HSALNT0373008
Source: RNAcentral